Hyaena hyaena (striped hyena) is the source of this 104-nucleotide small nuclear RNA. The record is from RefSeq and is a predicted model, not a curated record. Lineage: Eukaryota; Metazoa; Chordata; Mammalia; Carnivora; Hyaenidae.
GUGCUCACUUUGGCAGCAUGUAUGACUAAAGUUGGAAUGACACAGAAACAUUAGCAUGGCCCCUACCCCAGGAUGACAUACAAAUACAAAGUUUGAUCACUUUU